Molecule: ribosomal RNA, 923 nt
Filed under: Laxitextum incrustatum
Lineage: Eukaryota; Fungi; Basidiomycota; Agaricomycetes; Russulales; Gloeocystidiellaceae
Description: LSU rRNA
Rfam family: Eukaryotic large subunit ribosomal RNA
Source: RNAcentral
AGCAUAUCAAUAAGCGGAGGAAAAGAAACUAACAAGGAUUCCCCUAGUAACUGCGAGUGAAGCGGGAAAAGCUCAAAUUUAAAAUCUGGCAGUCUUUGGCUGUCCGAGUUGUAGUCUGGAGAAGUGCUUUCCGCGCUGGACCGUGUACAAGUCUCCUGGAAUGGAGCGUCAUAGAGGGUGAGAAUCCCGUCUUUGACACGGACUACCAGUGCUCUGUGAUGCGCUCUCAAAGAGUCGAGUUGUUUGGGAAUGCAGCUCAAAAUGGGUGGUGAAUUCCAUCUAAAGCUAAAUAUUGGCGAGAGACCGAUAGCGAACAAGUACCGUGAGGGAAAGAUGAAAAGCACUUUGGAAAGAGAGUUAAACAGUACGUGAAAUUGUUGAAAGGGAAACGCUUGAAGUCAGUCGCGUUUGCCAGAACUCAGCCUAGCUUCGGCUUGGUGUACUUUCUGGUGAACGGGCCAGCAUCAAUUUUGAUCGUCGGAUAAUGGCAAGGGGAAUGUGGCACCUUCGGGUGUGUUAUAGCCCCUUGUCGCAUACGGCGGUUGGGAUUGAGGAAUUCGGCAUCCCCUCGUGGUUGAUGCUUAGGAUGCUGGCGUAAUGGCUUUAAACGACCCGUCUUGAAACACGGACCAAGGAGUCUAACAUGCCCGCGAGUGUUCGGGUGGAAAACCCGUGCGCGUAAUGAAAGUGAAAGUUGGGACCUCUGUUGUGGAGGGCACCGACGCCCGGACCAGACCUUCUGUGACGGAUCCGCGGUAGAGCGUGUAUGUUGGGACCCGAAAGAUGGUGAACUAUGCCUGAAUAGGGUGAAGCCAGAGGAAACUCUGGUGGAGGCUCGUAGCGAUUCUGACGUGCAAAUCGAUCGUCAAAUUUGGGUAUAGGGGCGAAAGACUAAUCGAACCAUCUAGUAGCUGGUUCCUGCG